Molecule: non-coding RNA, 138 nt
Organism: Ornithorhynchus anatinus (platypus)
Lineage: Eukaryota; Metazoa; Chordata; Mammalia; Monotremata; Ornithorhynchidae
Source: Rfam
CCCCUCACAGGGUCACACCUGGAGAGUUCCCAGAACUCUCCCAGUCUCAACUAUGGGAGGGAGAGUCAGGCAGAGGCCUAUCCAUUCCAUUCCUAGCUUGGGCAGUGGCUAGUGAGAGGAAGGCACUCUGCUACAAGU